Molecule: non-coding RNA, 22 nt
Filed under: Dasypus novemcinctus (nine-banded armadillo)
Lineage: Eukaryota; Metazoa; Chordata; Mammalia; Cingulata; Dasypodidae
Also listed under: 14 other names
Source: RNAcentral
AUGGUUUACCGUCCCACAUACA